Molecule: ribosomal RNA, 253 nt
Filed under: uncultured bacterium
Lineage: Bacteria
Description: partial 16S ribosomal RNA
Rfam family: Bacterial small subunit ribosomal RNA
Source: RNAcentral
UACAGGGGGUGCAAACGUUGCUCGGAAUCAUUGGGCGUAAAGCGCACGUAGGCGGUCCGUUAUGUCGGACGUGAAAGCCCUUGGCUUAACUGAGGAAGUGCAUCCGAAACUGGCAGGCUAGAGUACUAAAGAGGGUCGCGGAAUUCCCGGUGUAGAGGUGAAAUUCGUAGAUAUCGGGAGGAACACCGGUGGCGAAGGCGGCGACCUGGGUAGAUACUGACGCUGAGGUGCGAAAGCGUGGGGAGCAAACAGG